CCUACGGGAGGCAGCAGUGAGGAAUAUUGGUCAAUGGCCGGAAGGCUGAACCAGCCAAGCCGCGUGAAGGACGAAGGUGCCAAGCAUUGUAAACUUCUUUUGUCAAGGGACAAAAUCAGGCUCGAGAGCCUGACCGAGGGUACUUGAAGAAAAAGCAUCGGAAAACUGCGGGCCAGCAGCCGCGGUAAUACGGAGGAUGCGAGCGUUAUCCGGAUUUAUUGGGUUUAAAGGGUGCGUAGGCGGGCGGUUAAGUCAGCGGUAAAAGCCCGGGGCUCAACUCCGGCGAGCCGUUGAAACUGGCUGUCUGGAGAGGGCGAGAGGUAUGCGGAAUGCGCGGUGUAGCGGUGAAAUGCUUAGAUAUUGCGCAGAACUCCGAUUGCGAAGGCAGCAUACCGGCGGCGAUCUGACGCUGAGGCACGAAAGCGUGGGUAUCGAACAGGAUUAGAUACCCCAGUAGUC
This 459-nucleotide ribosomal RNA is filed under the name uncultured bacterium. Its description in RNAcentral is "partial 16S ribosomal RNA". It matches the Rfam family "Bacterial small subunit ribosomal RNA", at positions 338 to 795 of the family's 1533-position model. The record is from RNAcentral.